AAGUCGUAACAAGGUUUCCGUAGGUGAACCUGCGGAAGGAUCAUUAACGAGUAAAAAGUCGCUCGACCGUGCUGGCCGAAACGCAUGUGCACGUCGGUCGCAAAACCUCAUCCACACACCUGUGAAUCUAUGGCCUUCGGGUCUCUGACCCGGGGGCAACCUUUUUUACCCACCCUGUUCGUAAAGGAAUGUCAUAGUGUGAUAAACACAAAUGAAACAACUUUCAACAACGGAUCUCUUGGCUCUC
This 247-nucleotide unclassified non-coding RNA is filed under the name fungal sp. RNAcentral's name for it is "partial internal transcribed spacer region". The stretch from base 1 to 46 matches the Rfam family "Eukaryotic small subunit ribosomal RNA", at positions 1786 to 1831 of the family's 1831-position model. The record is from RNAcentral. Lineage: Eukaryota; Fungi.